RNAcentral lists this ribosomal RNA (554 nucleotides) under Gymnangium hians. RNAcentral's name for it is "partial 16S ribosomal RNA". It matches the Rfam family "Bacterial large subunit ribosomal RNA", at positions 1835 to 2580 of the family's 2925-position model. Lineage: Eukaryota; Metazoa; Cnidaria; Hydrozoa; Leptothecata; Aglaopheniidae. The record is from RNAcentral.
CCUCACAAUUAUUGAAGGUGUCGCCUGCCCAAUGGAUUAACCCCAAAGAUAAAAGACUUUUACAAAAAACCAAAUGGCUGCAGUAACCAUAACUGUAACAAUGUAGCACAAUUAAUCGUCACUUAAUUAGUGAAUAGUAUGAAUGGCUAAACGAAAAUCUCACUGUCUCAUAGUAUAACCGAAAAAAAUUAAAAUAACAGUUAAGAUGCUGUUUAAAAUUGUAAGACGAGAAGACCCUAUAAAGCUUAACUAUUGAUCUUAAAUAAAUUUUAAGAAGAGGUAGUUUCAUUGGGGCGAUGGUUUUUAAAAUAAAACAAAAACACAACAAUAAUAAUUUAAAAUAUUUACUGUACAACCUAUCAGUUUAACAGUUACAAAGUAGGUUAAACACGACCCAUUAACUUCAAGAGAAAAGUUAAUGAUUAAUAAAUAAAAGCUACUUUAGGGAUAACAGAAUAAUUUUAUUCAAAAGUCCAAAUUUAAAAUAAAGUUUAUUACCUCGAUGUUGAAUUGAGAUAUCCCAGGGGUGCAAAAGCUCCUAAAGGUAGGUCUGU